GCAUAAAGUGGGAACAGAGUCUGCUAAAGGUUGGUGUUUUGGGUUUGGAGAUGAAAAUAAAAGCAGCAUUGAGCAUAUUGCAGAGAUAGAGUAGGGUAAAGUUAAAGGUUAAAGAUGAUGAAGCCGACCAAUUUGCUUUAAUAUUUCGCUUUUGCUUUGUUCGUUUGUAGAUGUGAUAGAUUUUGCUCAAAUAACCUCAUCUCUUAAGCGUGGGCUACAAUUGCAGAAUGAG
RNAcentral lists this long non-coding RNA (232 nucleotides) under Arachis ipaensis. RNAcentral describes it as "long non-coding RNA (AIPA_LNC002003)". The record is from RNAcentral. Lineage: Eukaryota; Viridiplantae; Streptophyta; Magnoliopsida; Fabales; Fabaceae.